RNAcentral lists this ribosomal RNA (950 nucleotides) under uncultured bacterium. RNAcentral describes it as "bacterial SSU rRNA". It matches the Rfam family "Bacterial small subunit ribosomal RNA", at positions 56 to 999 of the family's 1533-position model. The record is from RNAcentral.
UGCAGUCGAACGGUAACAUUGGUGCUUGCACCAGAUGACGAGUGGCGCACGGGUGCGUAACGCGUAUGCAAUCUACCUUUUACUAGAGUAUAGCCCAGAGAAAUUUGGAUUAAUCCUCUAUAAUAUCUUUUAAUUUCAUGAUUUUAAGAUUAAAGUUUUAACGGUAAAAGAUGAGCAUGCGUCCUAUUAGUUUGUAGGUGAGGUAACGGCUCACCUAGACUACGAUAGGUAGGGGCCCUGAGAGGGGGAUCCCCCACACUGGUACUGAGACACGGACCAGACUCCUACGGGAGGCAGCAGUAAGGAAUAUUGGACAAUGGACGAAAGUCUGAUCCAGCCAUGCCGCGUGCAGGAUGAAAGCCCUACGGGUUGUAAACUGCUUUUAUACAGGAAGAAACACUCCGACGUGUCGGAGCUUGACGGUACUGUAAGAAUAAGGAUCGGCUAACUCCGUGCCAGCAGCCGCGGUAAUACGGAGGAUCCAAGCGUUAUCCGGAAUCAUUGGGUUUGAAGGGUCCGCAGGCUGUUUUUUAAGUCAGAGGUGAAAUCCUACAGCUCAACUGUAGAACUGCCUUUGAUACUGAAAAACUUGAGUUAUUGUGAAGUGGUUAGAAUGUGUGGUGUAGCGGUGAAAUACAUAGAUAUCACACAGAAUACCGAUUGCGAAGGCAGAUCACUAACAAUAUACUGACGCUCAUGGACGAAAGCGUGGGGAGCGAACAGGAUUAGAUACCCUGGUAGUCCACGCCGUAGACGAUGGAUACUAGCUGUUCGUCUAACAUUGGUUAGAUGAGUGGCUAAGCGAAAGUGAUAAGUAUCCCACCUGGGGAGUACGGUCGCAAGACUGAAACUCAAAGGAAUUGACGGGGGCCCGCACAAGCGGUGGAGCAUGUGGUUUAAUUCGAUGAUACGCGAGGAACCUUACCAGGGCUUAAAUGUAGUGGGACAGG